Molecule: ribosomal RNA, 253 nt
Filed under: uncultured bacterium
Lineage: Bacteria
Description: partial 16S ribosomal RNA
Rfam family: Bacterial small subunit ribosomal RNA
Source: RNAcentral
UACAGAGGUCUCAAGCGUUGUUCGGAUUCAUUGGGCGUAAAGGGUGUGUAGGUGGCGCGCUAAGUCGGGUGUGAAAUUUCGGAGCUUAACUUCGAAACUGCAUUCGAUACUGGCGUGCUUGAGGACUGGAGAGGAGACUGGAAUUCAUGGUGUAGCAGUGAAAUGCGUAGAGAUCAUGAGGAAGACCAGUGGCGAAGGCGGGUCUCUGGACAGUUCCUGGCACUGAGACACGAAGGCCAGGGGAGCAAACGGG